CAGUCGAGCGGAACGAGUUAUCUGAACCUUCGGGGAACGAUAACGGCGUCGAGCGGCGGACGGGUGAGUAAUGCCUAGGAAAUUGCCCUGAUGUGGGGGAUAACCAUUGGAAACGAUGGCUAAUACCGCAUGAUGCCUACGGGCCAAAGAGGGGGACCUUCGGGCCUCUCGCGUCAGGAUAUGCCUAGGUGGGAUUAGCUAGUUGGUGAGGUAAGGGCUCACCAAGGCGACGAUCCCUAGCUGGUCUGAGAGGAUGAUCAGCCACACUGGAACUGAGACACGGUCCAGACUCCUACGGGAGGCAGCAGUGGGGAAUAUUGCACAAUGGGCGCAAGCCUGAUGCAGCCAUGCCGCGUGUAUGAAGAAGGCCUUCGGGUUGUAAAGUACUUUCAGUCGUGAGGAAGGCGGCGUCGUUAAUAGCGGCGUUGUUUGACGUUAGCGACAGAAGAAGCACCGGCUAACUCCGUGCCAGCAGCCGCGGUAAUACGGAGGGUGCGAGCGUUAAUCGGAAUUACUGGGCGUAAAGCGCAUGCAGGUGGUUUGUUAAGUCAGAUGUGAAAGCCCGGGGCUCAACCUCGGAAUAGCAUUUGAAACUGGCAGACUAUAGUACUGUAGAGGGGGGUAGAAUUUCAGGUGUAGCGGUGAAAUGCGUAAAGAUCUGAAGGAAUACCGGUGGCGAAUGCGGCCCCCUGGACAGAUGCUGACACUCAGAUGCAAAAGC
This 721-nucleotide ribosomal RNA is filed under the name Vibrio sp. RNAcentral's name for it is "bacterial SSU rRNA". It matches the Rfam family "Bacterial small subunit ribosomal RNA", at positions 59 to 760 of the family's 1533-position model. Lineage: Bacteria; Pseudomonadati; Pseudomonadota; Gammaproteobacteria; Vibrionales; Vibrionaceae. The record is from RNAcentral.